RNAcentral lists this transfer RNA (84 nucleotides) under bacterium E08(2017). It matches the Rfam family "tRNA". Rfam says of the family: Transfer RNA (tRNA) molecules are approximately 80 nucleotides in length. Their secondary structure includes four short double-helical elements and three loops (D, anti-codon, and T loops). The record is from Rfam by way of RNAcentral.
GCUCGGGUGGUGAAAUGGCAGACACGCUAGCUUGAGGGGCUAGUGGGCGAUUAGCCCGUGGAGGUUCGAGUCCUCUCCCGAGCA